This 845-nucleotide ribosomal RNA is filed under the name Ophioceras freycinetiae. Its description in RNAcentral is "partial large subunit ribosomal RNA". It matches the Rfam family "Eukaryotic large subunit ribosomal RNA", at positions 75 to 949 of the family's 3401-position model. The record is from RNAcentral. Lineage: Eukaryota; Fungi; Ascomycota; Sordariomycetes; Magnaporthales; Ophioceraceae.
UUGCCUCAGUAACGGCGAGUGAAGCGGCAACAGCUCAAAUUUGAAAUCUGGCCUUCGGGUCCGAGUUGUAAUUUGCAGAGGAUGCGUUCGGCGACGCACUGACCGAGUCCCCUGGAAUGGGGCGCCAUAGAGGGUGAGAGCCCCGUAUGGUCGGCUGCUGAACCGGUGUAAUGCUCCUUCGACGAGUCGAGUAGUUUGGGAAUGCUGCUCUAAAUGGGAGGUAAAUUUCUUCUAAAGCUAAAUACCGGCUGGAGACCGAUAGCGCACAAGUAGAGUGAUCGAAAGAUGAAAAGCACUUUGAAAAGAGGGUUAAAAAGCACGUGAAAUUGUUAAAAGGGAAGCGCCUAUUACCAGACUCUGUUCUUGGGGAUCAUCCGUCCUUCUGGGCGGUGCACUCCCUUUGGAUGGGGCCAGCAUCGGUUUUCGCCGGGGGAAAAGGACUCGAGGAAUGUGGCUUUUUUCGAAAAGUGUUAUAGCCUCUUGUUUGAUGCCCCGGUGGGGACCGAGGACCGCGCUUCGGCAUGGAUGCUGGCGUAAUGGUAAUCGGCGACCCGUCUUGAAACACGGACCAAGGAGUCAAGCAUUAGUGCGAGUGUACGGGUGUAAAACCCGCACGCGCAGUGAAAGCGAACGCUGGUGAGAGCUUCGGCGCAUCACCGACCGAUCCUGACGUUCUCUGACGGAUUUGAGUAGGAGCAUUAACGCUUGGACCCGAAAGAUGGUGAACUAUGCCUGAAUAGGGUGAAGCCAGAGGAAACUCUGGUGGAGGCUCGCAGCGGUUCUGACGUGCAAAUCGAUCGUCAAAUUUGGGCAUAGGGGCGAAAGACUAAUCGAACCAUCUAGUA